This 5048-nucleotide long non-coding RNA is filed under the name Sus scrofa (pig). RNAcentral's name for it is "lncRNA (ENSSSCG00035069174.1)". Lineage: Eukaryota; Metazoa; Chordata; Mammalia; Artiodactyla; Suidae. The record is from RNAcentral.
CCCUUCGGUCCCCGUGUGCUUCAUUCUCCGCAGUGGUCUUGCUUCGCUCAACCUAGCAGACAGGCACUGAGAGGAUCUGGGCAGUGGUGGUGAUGAAGAGGCGCCUCCCGGGGAGACGCCAAGACGGGCAACAUCUGACCCUUGGCCUGAGGCCUUCCUUCUAGAGAGGUGGGCUCCCGAGCAGAAGGUUGUCUGGGCAGGUUGAGGCCGUGUCUCCAGACUCCCCCGGGUCCUAAGCACGAACUGAAGCAAUCUGGGGGUUCACGCCGAGAUCUUCCACUGGGCAGCGUCCUCAUCUAGGUUACAGUGUCCUGAGCAAGGAAGACAGGGCGUGGCUAGGCUUGUUCCGUCUGAUGGAAAGGUCUCAGCAGCACCGGCCGAGGAUGGAGACGGUGUCCUCCGGGUAAAAGCAGAAGAUGCGAGAGUCUCUGGAGACAGACUGAAACCUCCUUCCACUUGCCCCCCGGUUCUGUUCAUAGCACAUUCCACCAGCAACAGAAUCCAACAUUGACGCACUAUCCAGAAUGAUGAGAGCACCACAGAGCGCCUGGGAUGCCUGUAGUUGAAGGAAGGAUUAAAUGGGUUAUCACUUUCGGAAUGGGCGCCUUCAACCGCCAUAACACAAAUCUCCUUUUAUCUCUGCGAUAAUACAAUUUGAAGGAAGAGCUCACGGUGGAACCCUUGUAACUGACAAGUGGUGACUUGGUUCAGACCAGCUGUUGGCUUCAUCAGCCUGUCUUUAUGAGGUCAGAGUUCACAGCCCAGGAGGGCAGAAAUGAUGGUCGAAUCAAUUGAUAUUUAAACGUUUUGAGAAUUCCCUCCGGGUCUUUGUACAUGGAUUUGCACACUCUGAGACCAGGAAGAGACCGCUAUGUCAGACUUCUCCCGGGGCUGUUCUUAAAGAAAAGGGUAUGAAAACAUGAUAAUAUUUGUCAACAUCGCAGCACGUUUUCCAGCUCGAAAUCUGAGCAGCCUGCUAAGUCUUACUGCUAGAGUUGAAGCAGUGAUUGCAGUUUUUUGCCUGGUAGUGCGGCAUCUUCUUCUCUUCCUGUGACAGCUCAUCCUGACUCAUAGUAAAUAAGACACCCUCAUCACCGCUAGCCUCGGUGAUGCUUCCAAUUAAUGCAGACCUUGAACUCCCCUGUCUGGCCGGACUCUCUGAGUGAAUUCCCCACUCCCCGAUUCACUGGCUCCACCGCCUCAUCCUGCCAUCGUCCGCCCGUCACCAUAUUCAUUCCACCAGCCCACAUCUACCAGCUUUGCGAAGUGGUCUCUGGAUAAGAGAGUACAAGGCUAGGACCCUCCCCCGAACCCCGAGCCACAGUUCUUGGUAUCAGACACGUGGCAUGCACCUUGACAACUUUGUUUUGAAAGUGGAUGUGCCAUGUCCAUGCCCAGCGCGAGAUUAGGAAUUCCUGGAAUUCACAGGUCACCCUGCUUGAUUUCUGCAAGGCGCUUCCCCGAGGGCAGCCCCGCAGUGCAUGUUUGCGGAUGGUGUGAACGGAGACGAGGAGAGGAAGGCCGAGGCGGUCACUCCGCUAAGAGGUGUCCGAGGGGUGACAGAGGAAACCGACACAGGGACACAUUCUGUCCUGCCUCUUGACCUGAGCUGUUGGGUGGGAAGCUGGGCUCCUCGGUCACUACGUGAUCAGAGGUAUAGACAGAGCCCCUCGAGAUGUACCUGCCGAGAACUUUGACCGUCCUGCUCAGAGCAAAAAUGAGGACAGAGCUGGGGCCAGCCGACCCUUGUUCUCUGCAGAGAGGCAGACUUUGUGUAACAGCCCUUGGGCACAGAUGGGCCAUCCACUGCUCAAAAUAAUAUUUAAUAUCUCACCUCGGGGCGCUUACGGAGGACCCAGGAGGAAUGUCUCGCUCUUGGGGUGACGGCACGUUUGACCUCGUUGAGAUGGUGGUUUUGGUCUCUCUUACGCAGCAGGCGUCACAGCAAAAGAGCCACGGGCUUGCGGUAAAUCCCAUAAACACUUUAUCCAGGAGAUUGUUUUCAAAGGGCUCCACCACAGACCACUUGGGUACAAAGGGUCAAAGAGAGUCCAAACAAAUGCAGGACAAUUAUAGGUACAAAGGGCCUGUGUCCUUGGUGAAUCAUUAAUCCUCAGCCGUCGUGAACAGAAAUGUUCCAUACAUUCGAUCAACAGGUUUGCGAAAGAGCCCAGGACACGCAGGAGAAGGGCACACGGUGCAAAAAUAAGUGGCAGUCGCAAGAGAGCUGGGUGGCGUUUGGGGGCCUCUCUAGGUUGGGGGGGGUUUGUUUACUCCUUGGUGUCAGACUGGGGGGGCCGGGUCUCCGCCCCCGAGUGAGUGAGUCUCCGCAUCCGUGAUUAUCACGCACCCUGGGCCUCCUUCCUCGUCGCCCCCCCUCGGUGCUGCCUCCGUUCAGUUGACUAUUUCAGGCACAUCCGCGCCCAGAAGCCGCCCUGAGGGGCCGUCCCUUCUCCUUCGCUGUGUCUUCUUCUUGUGGGAGUGAGGGCGUCAGGGCCACGACAACCACCGAGACAGGAGGCUGUGACGCCCAGCUGGCAGAAAGAAAAACAAGACACCUUGUGACUAGAAAAAAAGAGACCAACUCUUUGUUUUUGUCCACGGAUGACAUAGCCAAAAGCACGGGGCCGUCUCAAGGGGGCUUCUGGGACGGGCACACGCGCAUUUUCCAAUUUUCUAAUAACUUUGCCGCAGCUCAGAACACUUCUGAAGCUUCCCUUUAGGAAUGACACUGGGGACCACCGACAGGUCCCGUAAGGAAACCAAUCUCGUCUUCCUGUAAGAGUCACCCGGGCUAUCGGUACGGUCACCUCCUUGGCCCAGAAGCCCACUCUGGAUGGACAGGAGAGGUGGCAGGAAGGAAAUGCGAGGGAACUGGGAAGUCGGGCAGGGCUCAGGGGACUCAGGGGACAAACACGUCGUGAAAAGGCAGAGGAAGUGGGCUUGGGGAUGACAGUGCCUCAAGCGGCCUCAGGUCAGUGGACAUGCUGGAGGGACGGUCCCUCGCCUUGUCACGGGGGCCAGACCGCAGGAGCCCCUCGCUCUUUCCAGCACACCUUCCUCCGGCCCUGUCAUGGUCCCCGAGGCCCGUCUCUGGGGACAAUGCAAACAAACGAAAACAGAACUCAGGGAUGCCAGGGGCUUUUGGUCAUGAAGGGUCAGGUGUCUGGUUGAAGCACGGGGGUCGGGGGUGGGGAGGGAAUGAAGAAAUGGGGAGGUAGAAAAUAUGGACCCACGUGUCUCCUAAAGAACAUUCUUUCCUUGCGUGUGGAUAAUCUUCUUUCUUAAAACGUCUCGAGUCUCUACUCGUUACCUUCUCUCUUCUCAAGUGUACAGCUGUACAGCGCUGAAGCCUCCAUAAAUGGAAUUGCCCACGGGAGGUGCUUUCCCUCCAGGAGGCAUCCUGGCCCCUGGCUGGCCGUGUGCCCAGGCCUGGUCUCCUGAGGGCCUGCUCCUGCACUGCCCGCCUCACGUGUCCCAGACUCUGGGGUCCCUACCAGUCACAGCUCCGGGUUCUCUUCUGUUCUCCUGGGCCGGAUGGUGGAGGCCAACGCCCAGGGGUUUUGAGCGGACGUUACAGAUUCUGUGGUGUUGUUACCCUUUUAUGCAGGAAUUCUCUACACAGCGUUCUUUUGAGAGGUUCUCCAGUCCCCAGGACUCUUCCCUUUGGAGAGAGACCUCAAGCCCACAAAGUGAUAAAGAGGACGAUGCCCAGAACUCGGAACCGGGGCAUCACGAGACUCAUCGAUGAAUCAUUCCUCCUUCAGAAAGCUCAGCCAAGCGCGGUGUGGCCAUGACCUUCCUGACCUCAAAGUUGACCCCUGUAACUUCAUUGCAGCCUACCAACCAGGAUGACCUCACGAAGGUCCCUUUUAUCUACUCCUCGUUUUCAGCUGUUCUUCCUAAGAUAGGAUUCUUCUCUCCUAGUAGGUUCCAGCCUAUUUUUACCCCCCCCCCCAAUAUUUGAAAGUAACGUUUUGGUGGAUGUGUUAAAGUCUGUGUGUAUCAUUCAUCCAUUUGUGUCCUUCAAACAUACACCACUUCUAAGCGCCAACUACGCUUCCAUAAAUCCAGGAAAAAUGGCAUGUGUAUACAUAACAUAGCUUUACAUUUUAUACCUGACUUCUUCCUUUUUUAAAGUUUUGUUGAGGUCGAGUUGAUUUACGAGGCUGUGAUCAUUUCUGCUGCACCACCAAGUGACUCAGCUAUUCUUGUGCACACAUCCGUCUUCAGACCCCUUUCCUGCAGAGAUGAUCACGGGACGCUGGGCAGAGUUCUCGGGGCAGUACAGCAGGUCCCCACUGGCCAGUCAUUCCACAGGCCUCACUGGGCACGUGCCAGUCCCACACCCCUAAGAGUUUACUUCCAUGCUCUCAAGCCAUGUUUUGUGUAUUUAUUUAUUUUAUUUAUUUUUGCUUUUUAGGGCUGCGUAUGGAAGUCGCCAGGCCAGGGGUUGAAUCGGGGCUACAGCUGCCGGACUAUGCCACAGCCACAGCCACACCAGGCCUGAGCGACACCUGCAAUGUACCCCACAGCUCAGGCAAUGUCAGAUCCUUAACCCUUAACCCUUAAUCCUUGAUGAGCAGGGCCAGGGACCCAAUCUGCAUCCUCAUGGAUGCUAGUCGGGUUAGUUACUGCUGAGCCACAGCAGGAACUCUUCAAGCCAUGUUUGGAAUGAUUCUAAUUAAUGAUGCUGCUAAAAAGAGAACCCUCUUACAGUGUUGGUGGCUAUGUAAGUUGGUGAGGUCAUUGUAGAGAAAAGUAUGGAGGAUGCUUAAAAAAAUAAACACAGGAGUUCCCAUUGUGGCUCAGUGGUUAACAAAUCCAACUAGGAACCAUGAGGUUGUGGGUUCGAUCCCUGCCCUUGCUCCAUGGGUUAAAGAUCCAGCGUUGCUGUGAGCUGUGCUGUAGGUCGCAGAUGUGGCUCGGAUCUGGAGUUGCUGUGGCUGUGGUGUAGGCCAGCAGCUGUAGCUCCAAUUAGACCCCUAGCCUGGGAACCUCCAUAGGACACAGGUGCAGCCCCAAAAAGCAAAAAAAGAAAAGAAAAA